Molecule: long non-coding RNA, 806 nt
Organism: Lontra canadensis (Northern American river otter)
Lineage: Eukaryota; Metazoa; Chordata; Mammalia; Carnivora; Mustelidae
Exons: 3
Source: RefSeq, a predicted model, not a curated record
UGGUGGCAGAGGGGGAGAGAGAUGUCUGAAGAAUUCUCAUCUUUGCAUCCCCAGUGCCCAGCUCACUCAUGCCUCACAGAGCAGGGCUGACAAGUACGAGUUGUGAGUCCUAUGAAGAUACCAGAAUGGGUCAGGUGAAAGGCGAGGCUAGGGAGAACUCAUCAGGAGGGUCUUUAUUUUAGUCUCCAUCAUUUAUCCCUUAUUGUGAUUCAUUCUGUUUUCUUUUGAAGACUCAAAAUUAGACACAAAGUUACUUCAAAAAAUUUCCCGAUUCACCUUAUUUCUGAGUCUUAUUGUAGAGUUACCUCAUUUUUCUCGAAUGCUCUUUGACACCACCAUUUUAUUUACUUUAUUUGGAGAACAUUUUUCUUUCACUGGAGAGGCUUGAGAUACUCCCAGCAGGUUGUCUGUGAUUCCCAGAACACCAGCUUCAAAGUCCCUGAGUCUGGAGCUCAGGGGUGUCUCCAAGGAAGACCAUCAUCUUCAGGGAAAGCCAAUGGACCAGAGGGUGGCUCAUUUAUAUGCUAAAUAGAGGACAACCCUGAAGUCCAGUCCAGCUGAAAUCAAAUCAACACCUCGUCCUUGUCUUGGGGGUGCUCUCCCUGGUGGAGCCUGAAGACAGCGCCAUUCUACUCCAGUAGAAUGAACUUCGGGCUGGCGCUCUUGAUAAUGUGGUUCAGCCCACAGCCCCGUCCUUGCCUCAGUGCAUGACUUCGGACAAGCAUCGGGGAAGCCACUGAUAACAGACGCUGAUAACUCUGGCAGUAACGGCUUGAAAAACCACACGUUCUGCUCGUUCACCUGUC